RNAcentral lists this ribosomal RNA (254 nucleotides) under uncultured bacterium. Its description in RNAcentral is "partial 16S ribosomal RNA". It matches the Rfam family "Bacterial small subunit ribosomal RNA", at positions 524 to 776 of the family's 1533-position model. The record is from RNAcentral.
UACAGAGGUCUCAAGCGUUGUUCGGAUUCAUUGGGCGUAAAGGGUGUGUAGGUGGCGCCGUAAGUCGGGUGUGAAAUUUCGGAGCUUAACUCCGAAACUGCAUUCGAUACUGCGGUGCUUGAGGACUGGAGAGGAGACUGGAAUUCAUGGUGUAGCAGUGAAAUGCGUAGAGAUCAUGAGGAACACCGAUGGCGAAGGCAGCCCCCUGGGCUGAGAUUGACGCUGAGUGCACGAAAGCGUGGGGAGCAAACAGG